GGGCCUGUGGCAUGACAGGGAAGCGACACGUUUGCAACGUGUUAUAUGCGAGUUCGAAUCUCGUCGGGUCCACCA
RNAcentral lists this transfer RNA (75 nucleotides) under Microbacterium phage Pumpernickel. Its description in RNAcentral is "tRNA-Ala". It matches the Rfam family "tRNA". Rfam says of the family: Transfer RNA (tRNA) molecules are approximately 80 nucleotides in length. Their secondary structure includes four short double-helical elements and three loops (D, anti-codon, and T loops). The record is from RNAcentral. Lineage: Duplodnaviria; Heunggongvirae; Uroviricota; Caudoviricetes.